Molecule: ribosomal RNA, 217 nt
Filed under: Alexandrium tamarense
Lineage: Eukaryota; Dinophyceae; Gonyaulacales; Pyrocystaceae
Description: partial Bacterial large subunit ribosomal RNA
Rfam family: Bacterial large subunit ribosomal RNA
Source: RNAcentral
UUAAGUGAUUAAGCGUAUACGGUGGAUGCCUUGGCAGUUAGAGGCGAUGAAGGACGUGUAAGUCUGCGAAAAGCUGUGGUGAGUUGACAAAACGCGCUUGAGCCACAGAUGUCCGAAUGGGGAAACCCAGUCAUUUAUGACUAUCUGCACAUGAAUACAUAGUGUGUAGAGGCAAACGAGGGGAACUGAAACAUCUAAGUACCCUUAGGAAAAAAAA